CGCGUAGGCGGGUGCUCAAGUCCGGGGUGAAAUCCUCCAGCUCAACUGGAGAACUGCCUCGGAUACUGGGUGUCUCGAGGGUGGUAGGGGUAUGCGGAACUAUCGGUGGAGCGGUGAAAUGCGUUGAUAUCGAUAGGAACUCCGGUGGCGAAGGCGGCAUACUGGACCACCUCUGACGCUGAGGCGCGAAAGCCAGGGGGAGCAAACGG
Molecule: ribosomal RNA, 209 nt
Filed under: uncultured bacterium
Lineage: Bacteria
Description: partial 16S ribosomal RNA
Rfam family: Bacterial small subunit ribosomal RNA
Source: RNAcentral